This 419-nucleotide ribosomal RNA is filed under the name uncultured eukaryote. RNAcentral describes it as "bacterial SSU rRNA". It matches the Rfam family "Eukaryotic small subunit ribosomal RNA", at positions 592 to 1018 of the family's 1831-position model. The record is from RNAcentral.
CAAUAGCGUAUAUUAAAGUUGUUGCAGUUAAAAAGCUCGUAGUUGGAUUUCAGAGUGAGCUCGUCCGGUCGGCCUAAAUGGUCUGAACUGGUUGACUCUCUCUUGCUUGUGGAUCCCGCCCGGAGUUAACUCUUCGGAUGUGGACUUCACAUCGUUUACCUUGAAAAAAUUAGAGUGUUCAAAGCAGGCGUAUGCUUGAAUAUAUUAGCAUGGAAUAAUGGAAUAGGACCCUGGUUCUAUUUUGUUGGUUUUGAGGACCAGAGUAAUGAUUAAUAGGGAUAGUUGGGGGUGCUAGUAUUCAGCGGCCAGAGGUGAAAUUCUUGGAUUCGCUGAAGACUAACUUAUGCGAAAGCAUUCACCAAGGAUGUCUUCUUUAAUCAAGAACGAAAGUUGGGGAGUCGAAGAUGAUUAGAUACCGU